CCUACGGGGGGCAGCAGUGGGGAAUAUUGGACAAUGGGGGCAACCCUGAUCCAGCCAUGCCGCGUGUGUGAAGAAGGCCCUCGGGUUGUAAAGCACUGUCAGUGAGGAAGAACGCCUGGUGGUUAAUACCCAUCAGGAAAGACAUCACUCACAGAAGAAGCACCGGCUAACUCCGUGCCAGCAGCCGCGGUAAUACGGAGGGUGCGAGCGUUAAUCGGAAUUACUGGGCGUAAAGCGCGCGUAGGUGGCUUGAUAAGCCGGUUGUGAAAGCCCCGGGCUCAACCUGGGAACGGCAUCCGGAACUGUCAAGCUAGAGUGCAGGAGAGGAAGGUAGAAUUCCCGGUGUAGCGGUGAAAUGCGUAGAGAUCGGGCGGAAUACCAGUGGCGAAGGCGGCCUUCUGGCCUGACACUGACACUGAGGUGCGAAAGCGUGGGUAGCAAACGGGAUUAGAUACCCUAGUAGUC
RNAcentral lists this ribosomal RNA (465 nucleotides) under Vreelandella stevensii. RNAcentral describes it as "partial 16S ribosomal RNA". It matches the Rfam family "Bacterial small subunit ribosomal RNA", at positions 338 to 795 of the family's 1533-position model. The record is from RNAcentral. Lineage: Bacteria; Pseudomonadati; Pseudomonadota; Gammaproteobacteria; Oceanospirillales; Halomonadaceae.